Acanthaster planci (crown-of-thorns starfish) is the source of this 466-nucleotide long non-coding RNA. The record is from RefSeq and is a predicted model, not a curated record. Lineage: Eukaryota; Metazoa; Echinodermata; Asteroidea; Valvatida; Acanthasteridae.
AGUCCACUGCGUCUUAACAAAAUAACCGAACGUCGUAGUGGGAUUGGAACCAGAGGAUUCUAAAUUUGGUCGUCACUGUUCUCCAAUACAGCUGGGCACACUAGGCAAAACGAGGUUUCCAUUUGCCCCUUCCACCUACUAGUAUUAUCCGUCUGUCAUUUUGGUAAAUGGACACAUGACUUUAUGAUGUGGAGUGUAGGCUCAAAUGUUAGCAAAGACAACUGAAAACGAAAGUUGAGUGAAACCAAGAGUUCCUCAAAAGUCGGACCAGCAUGUCUGGAGCCCAGAAGCCAGGGAUCAAAGUGAGAAACCACAACGAAAACAUGUUCGGUUUCAGAAUUUUGGAAGGAUGCUGCUGGAGCAGGAAACUCAGGCUGUCAGAGUAUCUGUCAACGACGACCGUCGGUUGUUGUUCUGGGACCCAUCACAAAGGAAGCAUCCCUCCUUAUCGGAAUCGGCGUCCGAC